RNAcentral lists this long non-coding RNA (1289 nucleotides) under Fukomys damarensis (Damara mole-rat). RNAcentral's name for it is "lncRNA (ENSFDAG00000030608.1)". The record is from RNAcentral. Lineage: Eukaryota; Metazoa; Chordata; Mammalia; Rodentia; Bathyergidae.
UGCAGAAUCUAUGUUUACGUCCUAGGCAUGCAUUUUAACCCUUCUUUCAGUAAUUGUUAAGGGUCUUAUGGAGCUGCAAAGAAUGUAGAAGAUUGACUUUAAUAACUUUUGGAGAAUCUCAUGACCCAAAACACAAAAAGUGUGCUUGUCUUUCUACUGGAGCUCACCUUGGGCUGAUACUGUAGCUCCAGGUAGGAUAAACCCACCUCCAUCACCCCAGGUUGGAGCAAUUCCUAAGGAGAGUUUUGAAAGACAGCAUGGUCAACAGGCAUGUUCUUUUCAGGGCUUAAGAGAACAAUAUGAGGAAGUGAACAAAGUUUAAGAAAGGUGGGGAAUUACAUGUCACAAUGACCUUGCCUUGGCUGAGUGACUUUAGAAAGGUGACUUUCGUUAUCCAUGACACACUCCUUUGUGACACGGGGCUGAUGCUGCCUUUGUCAUUGUGGGGCUUCUAGGAGAUGCUUGUGGGACAUUUGGCUGAUGUCGGAGCCUGAUGGGAGCGUACAAGCAGCCAUCCUGUGCAGGGUGCCCACAGUGUGCUGGAGAUUCACGUGCAGCAUCUUCUUUGAUUAUCAGGAUAACUCCAGGGCUCUAGUCCCACUUUCAUGUCGUGAUGGAGCCAGUGCAGUGAUGAACAGCAACGGGUGCACGGAGGAAAAGGAGGACUCGGAAAUACACCUAGGACGGGGACAGCUGUUUUGGGAUGAAGAAUGGGUUUGGCAGAUCAGUCGGAAGUAAGAUAUUUCUCUCUGGUCAUUGUUUCAGUCAGUUCUCUGGUAAAAGCCAGACUAGUUAAGUCACCAUGUAGGUGUUAAUCUAACAUAGCAACUCUUUUUUUUUUUUUGGUACUGGGGAUUGAACUCAACAUAGCGAUUCUUAAAAUGUGACCAGGGAAUCCCUAGUGAUCCUCAAAGUUCUUUCCAGAGGGAUUCACAGAAUCAGAACUAUUUUCGUAGUAAUAUUAAAAUGUCAUUUGCCUUUUUUUACUCAUUCUUUCACAGUAUGUGGUGGGGUUUUCCAAGAGCAUCACUGUAUGUGGUGAUUUUAUCCCUCUAGCAACCAACAAAAUGUGUGCUUACAUACUCUGUGUUUUAAAUUUUUCUGUUUUAAUUUCUAAACGGGUAAAUACCCAUAGCUAUAAACCACAUGAACAAAAGUCCUUCAGACUCUUUCAUUUUUUUUUUUUUUUUUUUUUUUUUUUUUUUUUUUUUUUUUUUUUUUUUUUUUGGGUUUUUGAGACAGGGUCUCACUAUGUAGUUGAGACUGACCUGGAACUCACUAUGUAACCC